This 463-nucleotide ribosomal RNA is filed under the name uncultured bacterium. Its description in RNAcentral is "bacterial SSU rRNA". It matches the Rfam family "Bacterial small subunit ribosomal RNA", at positions 356 to 831 of the family's 1533-position model. The record is from RNAcentral.
GGGGAAUAUUGAGCAAUGGGGGGAACCAUGACGCAGCAACGCCGCGUGAAGGAAGAAGGCCGUUUGGGUUGUAAACUUUUGUCGACAGGGAAGAAGACAGUGACGGUACCUUGUGAGGAAGCCACGGCUAACUACGUGCCAGCAGCCGCGGUAAUACGUAGGUGGCAAGCGUUGUCCGGAUUUACUGGGUGUAAAGGGCGCGUAGGCGGGGCAGCAAGUCAGUAGUGAAAUACCGGAGCUUAACUCCGGGGCUGCGAUUGAAACUGUCGCUUCUUGAGUGUCGGAGAGGAAAGCGGAAUUCCUAGUGUAGCGGUGAAAUGCGUAGAUAUUAGGAGGAACACCAGUGGCGAAGGCGGCUUUAUGGACGAUAACUGACGCUGAGGCGUGAAAGGGUGGGGAGCAAACAGGAUUAGAUACCCUGGUAGUCCACACCGUAAACGAUGGAUAGUAGGUGUAGGAGGUA